RNAcentral lists this ribosomal RNA (505 nucleotides) under uncultured bacterium. RNAcentral's name for it is "partial 16S ribosomal RNA". It matches the Rfam family "Bacterial small subunit ribosomal RNA", at positions 29 to 523 of the family's 1533-position model. The record is from RNAcentral.
AGUGAACGCUGGCGGUAGGCCUAACACAUGCAAGUCGAACGGCAGCACAGGAGAGCUUGCUCUCUGGGUGGCGAGUGGCGGACGGGUGAGGAAUACAUCGGAAUCUACUUUUUCGUGGGGGAUAACGUAGGGAAACUUACGCUAAUACCGCAUACGACCUACGGGUGAAAGCAGGGGAUCUUCGGACCUUGCGCGAUUGAAUGAGCCGCUGUCGGAUUAGCUAGUUGGCGUGGUGAAGGCCCACCAAGGCGACGAUCCGUAGCUGGUCUGAGAGGAUGAUCAGCCACACUGGAACUGAGACACGGUCCAGACUCCUACGGGAGGCAGCAGUGGGGAAUAUUGGACAAUGGGCGCAAGCCUGAUCCAGCCAUACCGCGUGGGUGAAGAAGGCCUUCGGGUUGUAAAGCCCUUUGUUGGGAAAGAAAUCCAGCUGGUUAAUACCCGGUUGGGAUGACGGUACCCAAAGAAUAAGCACCGGCUAACUUCGUGCCAGCAGCCGCCGUAA